Long non-coding RNA from Gracilinanus agilis (Agile Gracile Mouse Opossum), 277 nucleotides. RefSeq lists it as uncharacterized. The record is from RefSeq and is a predicted model, not a curated record. The transcript has 2 exons. NCBI's taxonomy places the organism in Eukaryota, Metazoa, Chordata, Mammalia, Didelphimorphia, Didelphidae.
UCGAAGCUCUGCGGAGGGCUAAGUUCAAGUUCCCUGGCCGCCAAAAGAUCCACAUCUCCAAGAAAUGGGGCUUCACCAAGUUCAAUGCUGAUCAGUUUGAGGAUAUGAUCUCCGAGAAGCGGCUCAUUCCCGAUGGCUGCGGGGUCAAAUACAUCCCUAACCGAGGCCCCUUGGACAAGUGGCGAGCCCUCCACUCCUGAGGGCUGGCCUGUGGCCACCGUCUGUAUCUGUCAGCCUUUGUGCAGCCAUAAAUAAAGAGAUAACUGCUUUCUGGUCA